This 476-nucleotide ribosomal RNA is filed under the name uncultured Actinomycetes bacterium. RNAcentral describes it as "bacterial SSU rRNA". It matches the Rfam family "Bacterial small subunit ribosomal RNA", at positions 430 to 916 of the family's 1533-position model. The record is from RNAcentral. Lineage: Bacteria; Bacillati; Actinomycetota; Actinomycetes.
CCUCUUUCAGCAGGGAAGAAGCGAAAGUGACGGUACCUGCAGAAGAAGCGCCGGCUAACUACGUGCCAGCAGCCGCGGUAAUACGUAGGGUGCAAGCGUUGUCCGGAAUUAUUGGGCGUAAAGAGCUCGUAGGCGGCUUGUCACGUCGGUUGUGAAAGCCCGGGGCUUAACCCCGGGUCUGCAGUCGAUACGGGCAGGCUAGAGUUCGGUAGGGGAGAUCGGAAUUCCUGGUGUAGCGGUGAAAUGCGCAGAUAUCAGGAGGAACACCGGUGGCGAAGGCGGAUCUCUGGGCCGAUACUGACGCUGAGGAGCGAAAGCGUGGGGAGCGAACAGGAUUAGAUACCCUGGUAGUCCACGCCGUAAACGGUGGGCACUAGGUGUGGGCAACAUUCCACGUUGUCCGUGCCGCAGCUAACGCAUUAAGUGCCCCGCCUGGGGAGUACGGCCGCAAGGCUAAAACUCAAAUGAAUUGACGG